Molecule: ribosomal RNA, 154 nt
Filed under: Hoylesella marshii DSM 16973 = JCM 13450
Lineage: Bacteria; Pseudomonadati; Bacteroidota; Bacteroidia; Bacteroidales; Prevotellaceae
Description: Prevotella marshii DSM 16973 = JCM 13450 non-coding RNA
Rfam family: Bacterial large subunit ribosomal RNA
Source: RNAcentral
AAGGGCGCAUGGCGGAUGCCUUGGCUCACAGAGGCGAUGAAGGACGUGAUAAGCUGCGAUAAGCUGCGUGUAGGUGCAAAUACCCAUUGAUGCGCGGAUUUCCGAAUGGGACAACCCACCUGUCUGAAGGGCAGGUAUCACUGCACUGGCAGUG